CUAUAUUGAUAAUAUUUUAUCGCAAUCGAGUAAUUUUUUACCUUUCAAGGAUGAGAGCAAAAGGAGCAAUGACUAUAGUAGCAAAGGCAUUUCUAUAGACAACAAGAACAUAAUGACUCAUGCCUCUAUUAAGUGAAACUUUGGUUAUAAUAUUCAUUCCUGCAUAACCAAAUUGUAAAGAAAUCAUAGCUAUAUAAGGUUUUGAUCUUUGAAAAAAACUACAAUUACAUUCUUCUUUAAUUCUCUCCAUUUUUUGAAGUGAAAAAAUGGAAUUGAGAGGAAAAAAAACUAUGAAAAUGAGAAUUUGUGUUUUUUCUAUUGAAAAAGAAAUGAGAUAUGUUACAUUUUUAUAGACAAAAGGGCCAAAAGGCAAAAGCUAAUUAGGGGAUCUAUACCAACUCCCGAGCAUCUUAAACUUGUCAGAAUAUUUCAUAUAGACACUCGAACUAAGUCUUGUUUCAAUUAUUAAACACAUCUUAAAAAGUGUUUCAAUUAGACAGUUUCGAUUCAAAGUUUUUGAAUUUCUUUUUGAUGCGUGUUUUGAUUUGUCUAUUAGAUAGUUAUUUUAACUACAUAAAUUAAUAUGUCAUUUCUUUUGAUUAUACGAUCAAUCUCAAGUUGAAAUGUUUGAGGGAUUUCGACCAAUUGAGCGAAAUGACAUAUUUUAUCCAGGUUAACUUAACUACCUAAUAAACGAAGGAUAACACACACGUCCCCCCCCCCCCCCACAAAUAUGAACGGAAAGUGCUUAGUUGGAACACUUUAUUAGGAGUUGAGGUAUUCAAUUGAUUAAACUUUUCAAAUUUCUAAAUGAAAUAUCAUGACAAAUUUAAAAGAUUGGUCAUGUAUUAAGCCAUAUUAAUUAGUAGUUUAGUACUAUAUAAAAGUGAGAAUAUUACUUACGUAAGAGUUUCAUGUGUGUGAGAAUCUCAUACUCACACGUCAGUGUAAUUUGCACUAACAUUGAAUCUUAUUGAAUAUUCUGAUUUGUUUUUCUUGUUUGUUAUAUAAAAUAAUCCAUAUAGAGCUUUACGAUUAUUAUUUUUUUGGCGUGGAGAGGGGGGAACGAGAUUUGAUCCUUCAACAAUACGUGAAGGACGGAGGGCCUCAACGAACUGAGCUACCCUUUCACCCUAGACGUGUGAGAUAGAUUCGCGCCACUAAUUGAUAUAUCAAUUUUGCGAAUGAAAUCAUUAAAGUUAGAACAACUUUCACAUAUAGCAAACACAAAAAUCAUAUUUGUAUGCUAUAUUACAUAAUUGCGCUCCAUAGCAAACUUUAUGCUGCGCUCUAUAGCAAACUUUAUGUUUGAUAUGGCUAUUAAUAUGUAUAUUUCGCUAUACAUAUACAAAAGAAAGCAAUUGUAUAAUAUGUUUCGAUAUACAUAUACAAAAGAAUCAAUUGUAUCUGUGUUUGUAUAAAGCAAGAAAGAGAGAAAGAUAAAAGAAAACUGGGCAGGGGAAAAUCGUAUUUGUAUAAUCAUAAGUGUAUAAGACGAAAAUAUAUGCAUUUGUAUUUGUAUAUACAAUUUUCUCUCGCUUUAUACAAACACAAACGCAAUGUAUACAUUUGUGUUUGUAUAAAGUGAGAGAGGCGAGUGAGAGUGGCGAGCGAGAUCUGGAAGAGGGGAGAGAGGAGAAUGAAAAUAUAUGUAUUUUUACAAUUUUCUCUCGCUUUAUACAAACACAUUUUAUACAUUUGUGUUUGUAUAAAAGCGAGAGAGGCGAGCGAGACUGUCCAACGAGAACAAGAGUGGCGAGCGAGAUUCACCAGGAAGAGAGGCGAAAUAGCAACAGUUUGCUAUGAGAUACAAUUAAAUCAAACUAUGAUUAUAACAUUUAAUUUGAAUUAAUAGUUUGGUAUUAUAUAUAAUUUUCCCUUAAUAGUUAUAUAUUGAAAGUUAGUUAGAAAAUUAAUUCUAAAUAAAAAGGAAUAAAGUAUUAUUAAUGUUGUUAUUAUUAUUAUUAUUACAAUUUCCUUUUUAGUGCUAACACUCAUGCUACACUCAAAGGAGGUUGGUGGUGGGGUCCACUUUAAUGAGGGACCCAAGAGGCUAUCGUCAAUCCGAUAAACUAAAUUAUAAUUUAAAAUUAAUAGCCUAAAAAUUUUGAUUUUGUCUUUAAUCAUAACUUAUAAAUCUACUUGGGAAACAUUCAGUAACAUACAUACAUUAACUUUGUUUAUUAUGGUUAAUAUCUUGUUUAGUGCACUUUUUUAAUCUACACUCUAACCUGUAGAUCUAAAAGAAUAUGAUUAUAAGCCUGAUCGAAUAUUGUUUGUCCAUAAAUAAAACAAAAACAAAUUUAGAUUUAUGUGAAGAGACAGAAAGCAUGAAAAAUGAGGUCCAAAUAUUCCUUAAUCUCAACCAUGUAUGGUAUAUAUGUCCUCUUAUUAGUCUGUUUUGUCAAAUUUUAAAAAAUUAUAUAUAUACUAGCUAGAAGAAACUAAAUAUUUUUUGAAACGAAAAGGAAAAGCAACAUUUUCUCAUAAGUAUUUUGAAACAUUAGCCAAGUAUUAUAAAGUAUGACUUUAAUAUUAAUAAAGUAUUUUAAAAAUUAAUUAAUUAAAUAUAAAUGGCUAUUCUCCAAGAAUAUAUUUUUUGAUAAAAUAAGAACUCGUGUAUAAGGUGGGGUGGAUUCCUCAGCACCCAACAGACUGGAACUGAUUAAUUACAUGAAUUGGGAUAAUACUAUAUAUAUAUAUAUAUAUAUAAAGUUUAGGAAUAUAACAAUGGCUAGUGGAAUUAUUGUUAUACGUGGGAUUAAAAUUUCAACGUAUAUUUAGAUACCCUUUUUAUUUUUAUUCCUCGAGGAUCACAAUUUUCCAAUUUAUCGCCUAACAUAGCAUUUCAUCUACCCCAUUUGAAAUUCGUGAUAUUUUUUAAAGUUUCGUUUCAAUUUGUUUGUCCACUUUUAACUUCAUAAAGAGUUAUUGAUAUGGAUCGUAAUGUAAUGAUAGAACUGUUCUAUCAUUAAUUAGAGGUAUCGAGUUCGAGCUCUGUAUAUGAAGAAGAUCUUGUUGGGAGCGUCACCCCAGAAUAAGUCAUGCAAUGCGCUAUCCAAAUUAGUACUCCAACACUCCCCGGCCCGCUAAUUUGCUAAAAUGAUUUUAUUCUCGUGACUUUUUAAACUUCUUUGAACUUAAUGAAAAAGUUGAAAUCGAUUAGUCACAUACAUAUAACUCGAUUAAUUUAUAUAAAUUGAUAUAUUUACUGAAUACGUCGCUUGUAUUUCACUAAAGUGCCUUUCAUAAAAGAGCAUGCAUGUGGAUCACAAAAUUCCACAAACAAAGGAGAUUGAUUUGAAAUCUCCUCACUAAUAUCUUGUCUAAAAUAAUUUGUAUAUCUUUAUUUUUUUUAUAAAAAAAAAGACAUUACAAAACUAAUUAAUGGACAUGGCCAGCCUAAAAAGAAACAAAUCUGAUCAUAGUGAUAGUUUUUUAUUUCAUGAAAAUAAUAAACAAAAGUAUUGAAAGUUUCACAAAACGGUUUUUGUCAACUUUACUAAUAAUGAAAUUUGCAUGUUGUCAAAGACCAGAUCAUCCUCUCAUUUCUAUCUUUUUUUUUUUUUCGAUAUUUGAUAUUUGUAUGCUAUUUUGAUCGAUUCAAAUUUAUGGUAUGUAAAGCCCGUUAAAAACAAGAAAAGUGUACGCUAUCAUAGGUCUUUCGAAUUUCUCCAUAAACUCCUAAGCAACAUAUGUUGAAAUUUGAUUUGCUACUUCUACUCUACUUAACUUAAAAUAAAAAAUGAAAUGAAAUUCAAUUGGUCAAGAAAAAGAACUGUGCUAGUCUGAAUUUGAGGAAAGAUAGAGAGAUCUCUAGGUUCUCUCAAUCAAAUUAAAAGUUCGCUUUACCAGUUCAUGAAUAUGCACACCCAACAAUUCGAGGAGUUGGCCUGAUACGGGUCAAAGUCUCGUUUCAAAAAAGUCAGGACUUUUGGACAUAUAUACAAAAUUUUAUUUUAUUUUUAAAACUUAAAUUCGAAAUCUUAAUUAAUUAAGAAUGAAAUGAUCGUAUAUCUUUCCUACUUUGUUCUUAUUGUGCACACAUCUUUGUUCUUUUGUCUAUUUGUUUAUCUUGAUCUUGAAAUAUUAACUUUGUCAAUCAGCAAUGACUUAAAUAGAAAUUUAAAAGGAAAAGUUACAUAAUUAGACAUAUUUUACUAUCAUAUAUACUUAACUUAUCUAUAGUUAAAAAAAUUACACAUAAUUUCUCUUUUAAUAUUUAUACCAUAUAUUUUAAAAUAUUUAAUCAGAUACACAAAUUCUUUAAAUAUGAUAUUGAAUAAUUAUCUUAAAAUUUAAACUCUUUAAUUAAUGGUAAAAUUUCAUUCAAAUUAUUUUCUAUCACCCAAUCCCUUUACAUCUUUCGCCCCACCCCCACCCCCACCCCCNNNNNNNNNNNNNNNNNNNNNNNNNNNNNNNNNNNNNNNNNNNNNNNNNNNNNNNNNNNNNNNNNNNNNNNNNNNNNNNNNNNNNNNNNNNNNNNNNNNNNNNNNNNNNNNNNNNNNNNNNNNNNNNNNNNNNNNNNNNNNNNNNNNNNNNNNNNNNNNNNNNNNNNNNNNNNNNNNNNNNNNNNNNNNNNNNNNNNNNNNNNNNNNNNNNNNNNNNNNNNNNNNNNNNNNNNNNNNNNNNNNNNNNNNNNNNNNNNNNNNNNNNNNNNNNNNNNNNNNNNNNNNNNNNNNNNNNNNNNNNNNNNNNNNNNNNNNNNNNNNNNNNNNNNNNNNNNNNNNNNNNNNNNNNNNNNNNNNNNNNNNNNNNNNNNNNNNNNNNNNNNNNNNNNNNNNNNNNNNNNNNNNNNNNNNNNNNNNNNNNNNNNNNNNNNNNNNNNNNNNNNNNNNNNNNNNNNNNNNNNNNNNNNNNNNNNNNNNNNNNNNNNNNNNNNNNNNNNNNNNNNNNNNNNNNNNNNNNNNNNNNNNNNNNNNNNNNNNNNNNNNNNNNNNNNNNNNNNNNNNNNNNNNNNNNNNNNNNNNNNNNNNNNNNNNNNNNNNNNNNNNNNNNNNNNNNNNNNNNNNNNNNNNNNNNNNNNNNNNNNNNNNNNNNNNNNNNNNNNNNNNNNNNNNNNNNNNNNNNNNNNNNNNNNNNNNNNNNNNNNNNNNNNNNNNNNNNNNNNNNNNNNNNNNNNNNNNNNNNNNNNNNNNNNNNNNNNNNNNNNNNNNNNNNNNNNNNNNNNNNNNNNNNNNNNNNNNNNNNNNNNNNNNNNNNNNNNNNNNNNNNNNNNNNNNNNNNNNNNNNNNNNNNNNNNNNNNNNNNNNNNNNNNNNNNNNNNNNNNNNNNNNNNNNNNNNNNNNNNNNNNNNNNNNNNNNNNNNNNNNNNNNNNNNNNNNNNNNNNNNNNNNNNNNNNNNNNNNNNNNNNNNNNNNNNNNNNNNNNNNNNNNNNNNNNNNNNNNNNNNNNNNNNNNNNNNNNNNNNNNNNNNNNNNNNNNNNNCUGCGAUCUUCUCUCACCCCCACCCCCACGAUCUUCAAACACCUCCAUCAUCUCCCUCUCUUCCUUAUCCUCUCAAUACAUGUUUAUAUCCCAACGUAAAACCUAAUUACUAGUUAAAAAAAAAUUUAUUAUGUAUCUUGGUUUACAUCUCAUUCAUGUAUCUGAGAUAGAGUUUGUAUUGCUCUAACGUUCGAUUUUAUAAACUUUUACAAAUUAGGUUUUACGUUGUUUGUUUUUGUUGUUUCUCAACUAUUUUAAUGGAUGAGCAUUCAAUAAAUCGGAUGAUUCUUAUUAAAGGUAUCUCCGUAACAAUUCUAUUCAAUUCAGGCCUUUUUUUCAUUGAGGAUUUUGUUAUGUAUUUUGUCAAGCAGGGUCUUCAUCUGCCAACAUUCAAGUCGAAAAUAGAUCUAAGUUUAGGAAGACUAAAUCAAAAUGAAAGAAUUACGCAGAGCUUUAAUUAACAUAACAUAUACACAAUUAAACCCUUUAAAACUGUUGGAUACAUGUAUCUGCCCUUUAAAUCAAAUUAAUAAAUUGUGUCUCUCAACUUUUAAAAUUGUUGAUACACAUAUCUCGCCUUUAAUGAUACUUGUAUCUCACCUUUGUUACCAAAAAAGGAACUGGUGAAGAAGAUGAAAGAAAUUGAUGAAGAAGAUCAAGUUUAAGAUUACAGAAUUACUUUGGUUUAUGAUUUUGUUAUCUUAGGAAAACUUGUCAGAGUUGAUACACAAGCAUCUUAUAAAUCAGUUUGGGUUGUUAAAGAGUAAUCAAUUAAUCCUUUAAUUAAGGAAAUAAGAUACACCCUCUUUAAUUCAAAUUACUAACUCGCGUAUCUUGAUUUUUCAAAUUGUUGGAUACACGUAUAUCUCGCAACCAAAAUAUGAUAUAGAAAGUAAUAUUACAAACUAUCGUGUAAUUAGGAUCUAAAGUAGAGGGGUUUAUUUAGUUUGUCCAAUUUAAAAACCACCUUUGUACAUUACCAUGACUUUAAAAUUGUGGGACAAAACCACUUAUUACUAAAAUAUGUGCGUAUGCAACUCAUCUAUGUUUAAAUGUAUUUUUAGACUGUGCUAAACACACCAAAAUGAAUAUUAAUAAAAGUAACAAAUAAAAUCAAUAUGAACAAAGGUAACAAAUAAAAUGAAUGACAUGUAAAAAUGAAAUUUAACAAAAAUAAUGAUUUAAUCAAGCUGAAAAAUGUUUGAACAUAUUCAACCGACUAUGACAAAAAUAAUGUUAUCAAAAUUAACGAAUACAAAUUCUAACAUUUUGAGAAAAUAAGAAUAAUUAUCGAUAAAUUGCAUUAAAACUGCAAAAUAUGUAUUUUGAACUAUUAAUGAAUAAAAUACUCAAAAAUAUUAACUUAAAAAAUAUUAUACCAAAAUUGGUGUCGUUCUAAAAAAUCCAUUUAUGGCGCCAUGAAAUGGAUUAUGAAGACAAAUCAAAUUCUGUCGAAUUUUACAGAGCCUUUAAGAAAUAUUAAUAUGUCGGUGAUUAAUAUUGCACACUUCUAGAUAUAUGAAGUCUAAUUUUAACUUUUUGUCUAUGCUCUUUGCGUUUGCAAAUACGAAGCUUGACGAGCUAGCCCUUGUUUUUACGACUGUUCUUGAUCCUGUACUUGCAAGAAUAUACCAACCCUCAUAACAAGAAAAAGAAUUGACUAUGGCUCGAAAAAGUUGUGAAAUUUUGGAAUUCGAUGGUAUAUUUGAUGAACUCAUUAUUGUAGGCCUAGAAAGUGAAAUGCGUGGUGGAAGGUGUGCGAAGUUUAUAGUUUUUCCCGUAGGUGGAUUAAUCUUAGUAGGUUGUAUCGUUGUAAAAGUUGUUCCUACAUUCAAUAAUAGUUACGUGUAACUUACUAUGUUGAUUCUGUGAAUCAAUACUUAUGAAUGUGACUAUAUAUUUUUAAGGAGUGUGCCAACAAUUCAUUAUAUAUUACUUUAACUCAGCGUUUCCACCAAAACAAGAAGAUUUUGGAAGAAGUUUAUGAAUUGAAUAUGUAGUAGCAUGCCUAAGAAAACUUAAUAAGCAAAAAAUAAUAAUUUAUAACAUGAGAUAUCUGCCAUGCAUACGAAAAAAAUAAUGCAUAUAUUAACUUUAUUUAUUAUAAGUACCUUAUUUUGUUCACUUUUUAAAUUUAUGCCCGACUUAGAAAUCUAAAAAAAUUAAUCAUAGUUCUGACCAAAUAUCAUUUGUCUACGGAUAAAACAAAAACAAAUUUUGAUUUAUGUAGAGAGCAUGGAAAAUGAGGUCCAAAUAUUCCAUAAUCUCGACUGUAUAUAAUAUUAUAUAUGUCCUCUUAUUAAUCUGUUUGAUCAAAUUGUAAGAAAUUAUAUAUAUAAUUUUGAAUAAGAAAAAAUAACUUUUUCUCAUAAGUACUUGUGAAACAUUAGCCAAAUAUAAAGUAUUGCUUUAAUUAAUAAAAUAUUUUAAAAAUUAAUUAAUUAAAUAAUUAUAAAGGGUUAUUCUUUAUGAUUACUUUUUUGAUAAAAUAAAACUGAUGAAUAAGAUGAGCUCUAAGAUAAACUUAAAAAAUAAUUAAAAUAUAAUAUAUUUUUUUUGAAUUUAACGAGUGCACGUGCGGUGGGUCCACCUAUGAGCUGGGGUGGGGUAGAUUCCUCAGCACCCCACCCAACAGAUCUGAAACUGAUUACACUUAGGAAUUACUCUUUUUGUCCUAUUUUAUAUGAAUUAGUUUGACUCAGUAGUCGAUACAAAAUUUAAGAGAAGAUUUUUGAAACUUGUGAUCUAAAAUAAGUGAUAGAUAUUUUUGUGACUAUAAAUAUUUUAACUAGUGAUAAAAUGAGCAUUUUAAAGUUAAUACUUGAUAUAGAAAUAUAUCUUCUUUUUUUUUGAAAUUGACAAAAAAAAAAGUAAGUCAUAUAAAAUAGGACAAUGGAGUAUAUAUUAUAAAAAAGUUUAGGAAUAUAUCAAUAGCUAGUGGGAUGAUUGUUAUAUGUGGGAUUAGAAUUUCAACGUAUAUUUAUAUUCCUUUUUAACUUUAAUUUUAUUCCUCGAGAAUCACACCGUUACAAUUUUCCAUCUUAUCACCUAACAUAGCAUUUCAUCUACCCAUUGGAAAUUCGUGAGCAUUUUUUUUAAAGUUCGAUUUUAAUUUGAUAAAGAGUUAUCAAUACAGAUUGUGGUAUAGUAGUUGAACCGUUUCAUCCUUAAUCAGAAGUCUUAAAUUUGAGCCCUAGAUAUAUAGAGAAUUAGAUCUUUUUGGAAGCAUCACCGCUAUAAUGGAUCAUGCAAUGCGCAAUCUGAAUCUAGUAGGGGCUCCAAUGUGUACACAAGAUACUGGACAUGGGAUCAGAGGUGGAUCCACCUAUAAAUGUGGGUGCACGUGCACCCAUUACUUCGAAAAAAAUCUUGUGUAUAUAUGUAUAUUUAUCUUGAGAAUUGACAGAAACUAAGAUAUAAUUAAUUGUACACCUAUGAGGAGCAUAUGAAUCCCCUUGUGCUGUUGGUACAAGCCAAAGGAAUCAUUGGUAAGACCAGUGUUUGAAUCUGGCUAAAGUAAUAUUGGUGCACCCGAAACCUUCAAAUCCUGAUUUCGCCUCUGCAUGGAAUGAAAAACAAAAAUAGAAAUAAAAAUUAACUUGACUUAUAGUUAAUGCAUGCAUUAUUUUUGCUGAUACAUUUUACCAAACGAUCCCUUAGAGUUUAAAUAAAUAAGGAAUGACUUUUGAUUCGUGUAGUCUAGACUUUAAGAUAUGUAGAAUAUAACAAAUUGCUCUUUAAUGUUGCAAUGUUAAAUAUGUCAUGUGAAAAAUUGAAAUUAUAGAUAACUACAAAUGCAAAAAAAUAUUCUUUUUUAAAAAAAAGAAAAAACAGAUCAAAAACGAAAAACAGAAUAAACAAGUUGAAACAGAUAGAAAGAGUACUACGACGUACAUAGUUUUGUUUACCCAACAUAUAUAAUAGCCAAAAAUAUCUCAAAUUAAUUUAAUAUUCUCAUUUUAAUAGAACUUACUAAUUCGAUUAAUUUGAAUUUCGUGUAUAUACAAUAUUCUCUAAGGGGCUUUAGUACUCCAACACUCCCCGCUAAUUUGCUAAAGACGAUUUUAUUCUUAUGACUUUUUAAGUUCUUUUGAACUUAAGGAAAAAACUAAAAUUGAUUAGUCACAUACAUAUAACUCGAUUAAUUUAUAUAAUUGAUGUAUUUAUUGAAUUUGUUGAUUCCAUUUUACUAAAGUGCCUUUCAUGAAAAAGCAUGCAUGUGGAUCACAAAAUUCCACAAAGAAAGGAGAUUGAUUUGAAAUCUCCUCACUAAGAUCUUGUCUAAAAUAAUUGUAUAAUUCUUUAAUUAAUUAAUUUUUUUUAAAAAAGAAACAUAAUUAAUGGAUAUGGCCAGCCUAAAAGGAAACAAAUCUGAUCAUAGUGAGUGUUUUUUUUCAUGAAAUUAAUAAACAAAGUUUUGAAAAUUUCACAAAUCGACAAUAAUAAGUACAAAAAAGAAGAAGCAUAUAAAGUGUUUGGAUUAUAAUAGAUUCGAUAAUAUUUUUUCCCAUGUCCUAUGUUUAUAUAUUUGACUGAGUUUUGUCAAUUUCCCUAAUAAUGAAAUUUGUAUGUUGUCAAAGACCAGAUCAUCCUUUCCAUUUUUUUCCACCUGAUAUUUGAUAUCUUUGAUCAAUUUGAAUUUAUGCUACGUAAAGUUUAUUAAAAAAAGGAAAAAGCACGUCAGCAUAUAUAGGCACUUUGAAUUUCUUUGGAAAUUUUCAAUGUAGCAUGUGUCUGAAAUCUAGUUAGCUACUUACUACUUUAAUUGAAAAUAAAAAUAAAAUGAAAUUCAAAUUGUUGGAGAAAAGGAAUCGCGCUAGUCGAAAUUUAGGAAAAGAUAGAGAGAUCUUGAAGCUCUUCUAAUCAAAUUGAGAGUUCGCUUUGUCAAUCCAUGAAUAUAUUGCACCCAACACUUCGAGGAGUUGACCUGAUACAAGUCAAAAUCCUAUCUCGAAAAAGUUAGGAUUUUUGGAUAAAUUCUAUACCAAAAUUUAUUUAAUUUUUAAAUCUUAAAUUCGAAUUUUUAAUUAAUUAAGAAUGAAAUGAUCGUAUAGCUUUCCUACUUUGUUCUUAAUGUGCACGCUUCCUUUUUCUUUUGUCUAUUUGUAUACUUGAUCUUGAAAUACUAACUUUUCAAAUUGGCAAUAAAAGAUGGGCUAAUUUGGAUUAUAUGCAAAAUAUUCACCCAAUGAAAAUUCAUAAUGCAGACAUCUUGAUUAAGUUUCGAUAGUAGCACAGUAAAUUUUUUAUUAAGAUGGUCACAAUAUAUAAAAAAAAAAAAAAAAAAAAGGAGAUUUAAUAUUUAGUAUGUCGAUGAUUCAUAUUUUCAUGGGUUAAAUUUAAUAUCUAACUUAGUAUGAUGAAUCAACGAGUAGAUGCAAGAUACAUAUCGAUUUAUCGAGUUACGUAUGACAUUUUUUCACAUGGAUUACACUAAUCUUCUUUGUAUCGUUACAAAUUCAAAUUAAUCGAAUUUUUAUCCGAUACCGAAUAUCGAUAUGGUGGAAAAAGGUAAAACUGAGAGACUUAAAAGGACAUUAAAAAAAGGUAAUCUUUGUGAUAUUUUGGACAAACCAAUUUCAGCUAAUUACAUGUGCAAAGAUUAGGGGAAUAUAUAGCUUUUUUGCCUUUAAUAACUUGUGAUUUCUUAGUGUUUCUUCUCAUGUUUUUGGAUCUUGAUAAUUGCUGAUGCAAUUAAUUAAUUAAUUAGUGGAUAUCCACAAAGAAAAAAGCACUGUUUAUCAAUUACGUAAUUAUCAACUUAAUUAUUUGUAGUCUUCUUCAUUGUGAUGAUCACAUAGGUGGACACAACUUUGAUGAUUUAUACUUUAGCCUAAGUGUUUGAUGAUAUGAUAACAAUUGCUUAAUUAAAGAUUAAGCACUUAAUUAAUCCAUGAUAUAUACUUCGUGUUGGGUGCAUGAACAAAAUCUCAAAUUGGUAGCGGAAAAGAAUAAGAACCUACAUAUAAUGUGUAGUUGAUAUUUUUAAUGUUGUGAGACUUUUUGAGAAAUUAAAUUGUGUGUGUUUGGCCAAAGCGAACAAUAUCAAGCCAUGUUAAAAGUAUAUUUUAUGUGUUCUAGCCCAACAAUUGAUAUUAAAAUAACCAAUGAUUCAACGAGAUGAAUUGAUAGAGUGGGCCCAACUCAGUGUCUUUUUCUGUGUACGUACAAACUAAUUUACUAUCUUUAUCCGUAGUUUUGGAGUCUUGUACGCAAAAAAGAAGCCAUGAGGUGAUCGAUGAGUAAUUUGAAACUAAAUUCAAGAAGGAAAGUUAAAAUUCUCUCCAUAUUUAACCAAAGAUAUAUCUCAAACAUUUGAGGAGAAAAUAAACUUUUUAGCUUGAAUUCGUUGGGAGCACUAUCUGACCUGAUAUAAAUCUAAAUUAGUCGGAUUCAAACUAGACUGUUAAACUGAAAAAAGACCCAUGACACGUUGAUGGUACUUUAUGAACAAUUUACACUAAUUAAUGCUACUAAUACUCUGCCUAAACAGUACUUUUUUCUAAUAAUAAUCUUUGUUUGAUAUGGAGUACAUAAUAUCUUGAACUAUUUUGGUUACUUAAUUAAAAAAGGAAAGUGUGACGAAGCAUAUAAUUAGAAUUAGUGGUCCUAAAUCGAAAAAUCAACUAGCUUUAGUGAUUAAUUAUUUGUUAAGUAGACUAAUUAAUUAUAUAUUAGUGAACUAGUGCUUCCAUGGUGGGAAAGUAGAAGGGCAAUGUGAAAGUGAAAAACAUAACGAAGUUUGAAAAUGACCAAAUUGUCCUUUUUGUUUAGUCCAUGAUAAAUCACAUUUAUAAUUAAUAAUACCUCCUAUACAUGAUAGAUAUAUUUCAAGAAAGUGACUUAAAUUGUUCAAGAUCAUAUAAGGAUAAAAGGAGACAAUAUAUCCCAUCAACUAUCGAUAUAUGUGGAAUAUACGACACCCCUCGCUCCCUCCCUGUGUAUACCCAUGAUUGAACAUUGAGUAAUUUAUGAAUUGGGGUAGAUCUGAUUCUAAUAUCAUGUGUAGAAUUGGACCGACCUAAUUAGGCCUAAUUCAUUAUGAAGAGUUAGCUCAUGAUGUGAGUGAUAUUGAUCAUGAAUCAAAUAAUAUUAUCCAUCAGUGUGAUUUUUUUUUCACUUUCGCAAUACGUUUUUGUUGUGAGGUGUAUAGGCAUACAAUAUACUUUGUAAGCAGCUAGCUCGAAUACCCUGAAUUCUGAAAAGCACAGAGUCUGAACGCUAUGUUAAAUAUACAAUUGAAAUUACACUACAUAAGUAUUUGUGUAAAUGAGGCAACAAUUGAUCAUAAAACCUAUGAGAGUAUUUAGAUGAUCUAAAUUUAACGACCGAACAUACUGCAACAUCAGAAUCCCUACGUAGCCCCCCUCAAAUGUCGAUUUUCAAUUUUUACAAAGUUCAAUUGUCAAAUUACUAUUUAUAUAAUUAAUACUAAACUUCAAUCCUUAAAAUAUUAUUUAUGACACCUGCUGAAGAGUCUCACAUCAUAGGACAAAGAGAUCAUGAAUUAUCUCUUUAUAUAGUACUAGACAGUCAUUUUCUUACAAAUUAACUUUCAAAAUUGAGUUAGCUCCACGUUAAAUUCUUUAACAACAUCACAUGGACUAAAAUACCCCUAUGUUGAACCUGAAAAACCCAAGUUGCAAUGUCCAUUAUUAAGAAAGAAGCCAAAGGCAGGUAAAAAGGAUGAAGUGGAGCACAAAAAGACCACAUAAUAUAAUAUGGAUAUCUAAUCAUACAAACCAAAUGUUGCAACCCUAGAAUAACACUAUGUUAAAGGACAUCAUGACCUUAUAAUAUAAAAGCCACAAAUUUUAUAAAAAAAACAAACAUUGGUGGGUUACUUCUUUUUUAGUCGACAUAGUUACAUGAUGAAAACAUUGAGUGCACUGCAAAAGUUUCAUCUUUUGACUAGGUUUCUUGUAUGAUUGAAAUCAAAUGUGACAAUCAUUUGUUUUCUAAUCGAUGAAAGAUGUUUCAGAUCUGAAUCUUGAUAUAAAAUCAUUUUGAUUAGGUAGUGCUUUAUGUAAUAUGAAAUUUUUGUUGCGUAACUUCAAAUUUAAUCAUAUUCUAAUACAGAUAUUGACACCGAGUCAUGAGGAGAAAACAAGCACAUAUUUGUCAUUCCUUUUUUUUUUUUUUUGGGUAUUAUUUGAACUUUGAUUUUGUUUGUAGGAAGGAGUGGAAAGAUAAAAGCUGACCCUUUGGGUUUCCAAUGUUUGCAUUUUUAAAGACAAUUUCCAAGAGGUAGGAACACCUAUAUUGAUCUUAGUUUUUUUUUAAAAAAAAAAUUCUUCUACUUUUUAAUAAUAUAAUUUGUAUAUGUUGUUAUUUUUUUUUUUAUGUUAUCAACAUAUUUUAGUUAUAUGUUACUAGUAUAACAAGUUAUUAUUCCAAGAAUUAAGAAUAAUUGUAAUUAUCUUUCGAUUGAUCUAAUAAAAUAUUUUUUUAUACAUUUGAUUGAAUGUAUUUUUUUCAUAUGGUCGAUGUAUAAAAGUAAAACUCUUUCUAUUUUCAUUUUAUUUUCCAUAUUACUAUGGGGUACAAAGUAUCCACUAUAUAACUUUUAGCUUUCAUCAACUAGCCACUAGGCAUCAUGCAUAUGGUGGCUAUGGUUGCAAAAGGGCUCCAACUUGUUAUGUGUUGUAUUUAUUUUAAUUUUUUGGUUUUGUCUUUUCCUCAGGUGAAAUUGAUAACAAUGUUAAAAGUAUAUCACUCCCUACGAAAGACUAAUUCGAGAAGUCGAAUCCAAACAUCUGAUUAAGGAUGAAAGAUAGUACUUACCACUACACCAUAAUCUUUAAUGGUCUGUUUGGUGUUUCAACUACAUACCUCAUUACACUUCCACUUAUUGAUACCUAUUGUAAUGAUAACUCAUUUAUAUCGUCAUAAUCUUCUAUUGAAUUUUUCCGAGUAUUAAUAUUUAAUUUUCAAAGUAUAGUAAAUAUGAAUAAUUUAGUAAAAUAAAUAUUUAAUUAAUGUUUUUAAAACAAAGAGAAGUGCAAAAUGUAUAUGGUAAAAAUAAAGGGAACGAAGAGUUUAUUAAAGAAAUUAAUAAUCUUAAUCUUUACUUUUUCAAAUUGAAGAGGUAAAUCACUUUUAAGAUCCCAAAGAAAAACUUUAAAUUUUAAGUAAUAAUUGGUAUUAAGCCAAAUAACUUUUACAUAAACAUCCAAAAUAAUAAAAGUCGCUAUCUUUCUUUCAUUUGUAAUUAUUUUAUUUAUUUAUUUUUACAUAUAAAUGGACAAUUAGAAAACGUUUAUUCUCCAUACUUUGAAUAAACCCUUUUGCUUUUGUAAAUGUUUUUUUAGGUACCGAAAGUUUGAAAUAUUGGUAUAUUAUUCCUAAGAAACCUUUUUUUUUUAGAUCAAAGUUGACAUACCAAGAGAUGGACAUUUAGUUCAAUGUGCCCUAUAUACUUUUUCUUUAUAAAGUUUUUGUUAAAUUAUUUUUCUUAGUAUUUAGUAAUUAGCGGGGAAUUGAGCAAAGGCCGAACCACAAGGGUCUAUCGUAUAUAAUCGUACAUCAUAUAUAUAUAUUUCUGUAAGAAUCUAUUUUCACAACUUGAGCCUGUGACCUUUUGCUCAUACGACAAUAACUUACUUGUUACAUUAAAGUACCCUUGUUAAUUCAAUGAGCCCUAUGUACUUCUUCUUUAUAAAUUUAUGUUUAACUGUUUUUCUUAAUAUCCAAUAAUUAGCGGAAUACUGAAAAAGGAUCGAAUCAUAAUGUUCUAGUUUACAUAGUCUUGUCUUGCAUGUAUCUCAUAUUUUCAGAGCCUGUGAUCUUCUGAUCACAAAACAACAACUUAACAGUUACGUCAAACAACCCUUCUUAAUAAUCAUAAUCAUAUUCUACUUUUAAAAAAAACUGUUUUUUUUCCUCAAAGAAUUUCACUUUUUUUAAUUAGUAUUUUUUUCAAAAACAUAAUGAUGUCCACUUUUGAAUCAAUGUAUUUUUCUUUUAUUAAUCAUGCAAGAGGACUCAUUGAGUGCCCAAGAGAAUUAAUUAAAAAAAAGAAAAAGAGUAUUAAUUGACUGGCCUAUAAUGUGACAAAGAUCAUAAAUUGUUUUUUCAAUAAUUUGAAAAUUUUAGGAAGUUAAAGGUUUUCUUGAGAAGAUGGGAAAAUCCUUCUUUUUAAGUACAUACGUGAGCCAUGCAUGAUCAAUUAUAUGCCUUUUUAAACUAUAUUCAACUUAAUAAUUAUUAUACUUUUUUUUAUACUUGGACCAAAAUAGUGAUUUUGCUAGAACAAGACCUUUUUUUUUAAUUCAACGAGAAGAGAUUUGACAAGACGGAGUUGAAAUAGCAGUUUCUUUCAUGGCUCACACUCGUGACUAUUCAUACAUAACUUUACCAUUGCUUCAAGGUUUCUGUUUUCUCUGGCGAGGAUUUAGAUAUGGAUUAUUUUAACCUCUUAAGGCCUUAAUAUCAUGAAAGAUUUUCUUAUUGUAUUGUAUUGUAAAUACACCUCUAUAUUUAUAUUUAUAAACCAAGUCAGAGUUCUAGACUAAGUCACGUAAUGAGAAUAACAAUUCUAUGCAAACUAAGCCAUAAAUAAAUAAAGUCAAUUCAUAUUAGAUAAAUGAGUUGCUCGAAUAAUAAACAUUUUCGUUUUUCAUUCUAAUUCUUGAGUCAUUAAUUUGAGUAGUCUUAUUAUCCUUAUAGGUAGUGGUUAUUUUUUUCACAACAUGUACGUUGCUACUUUAAUUUUUUAAAGAACUUUAUGUUAUUUUAUUUUAUUUUUCAGUCAAAAGGCAAUGUCACCAGACACCAAUUGUCCAAUUCAAUUGUGUGUUGAAUGGUGUAAUUGAUAUUGUUACGUUAGAGAUUUAUAACUUUCUCGGUUCUCUACGUACUGCAUUAUGUCACUAUCUUAAUUUAUAUGAUAUUAUUUAAUUGAAUACGGACUUAGAAAAGAAAAGAUGACUUUUUAAAGUUAUGAAACUCGUUAACCUUUAUUUUGUCUUUCAGAAAUUCUCCAAGACUCUCUUAGUAAUUUUAAUCGGAAGCAAAAAGGAGUAAGGAAUGUUGGCGAAGAAGAACAAAUUAACAACCAACAUGAAUCGUGAUUGGAUGAUUGAAAAUUAAUCCACCAUUAAUCAAUUAUCUCAAAUUUGGAAUAUAUGAAGAAUUUAUUAGAUUUCAAUACAGAUAUCGAAUACUGGAUGGAAAAAUACAAAAAAAACAAAACUACUAUCGUUUUCUUCCUCUUUUAAUCCUAAGCCAUGUCUCUUUCUAUCUCUUUUUUAAUUUCUUUUUGAUGACCUCACUUAUGUAAUAUAAAAAAAAAUAAACACCGUUUAAUUUAAACUAGAAUACUAAAAAGAAAAAGUCGACAUAUAUCUUUUUCCUUUAGUUUUUUUUUUUCUUUCCAUUUUUUAUUUUUAUUUUCUCCAAGAGUGAACGGAAAUAAUAAUUACUCUUACUCAACUUUCUAUAUUUUUCUAAUAUAUGUAUAUAAUAAUAAAAUAAAAUAACAAAGAAGCUUCUCGAAUCCUUUGUAAUGUUUUCGUUCUACUUGAUAAAUAAAUAUAUUAAAUUAAUUUUCAAUCAAAUAUAACGAUGUUUAAAAUUUAUACUACUCAAAAUGCUAAUACAUAUAACUAUAGUUCAAUUAUUAUUUUUACGUGUUCUUCAUGAACAUCUCUUUCUAACCCUAAGGACAAAUGAAAACUAUCAUUUUCCUCCCUCUUUUUAUCCCUAACUAUGACAAGUCUUUUUCUAUAUCUUCUAUUUCUUUUUGAAGACCUCAUCUCUCCAUCUUAAAGUUUUUCCCUUUUAUUAUUAUCAUAGUAUUUUGUUCUUCGAUUUUUGUUAUUAUCUGUUUCCUUUUUUAUUUUACUGUUGUUAUUGUUACUUUUUUGUUGUUGCUAAGUGUUAUAUAUAAUUCUUUCAAACUGCUUCGAUAUGUGUUAUUUGAGUUGAUGGUCUUUUGAAAAGCAGUUUUUCUAGAGUCAACAAUAUAUAGAAGUAAGGUUUGAGUAUACUAUACUCUCUUCAGAUUCCGCUUAUAAAAUUUUACUAGUUAUGUUAUUGUUUGUAAGCCGAAAUAACAAGAAUCGAAACACUGAUAUUUUCCAAUUAAGUUCUAUUUAUCCUAAAACUUGUCUUAUCAUAAUUAAUCGAAACAUAAAUCAUAAUUUUACUUUAAAUAGAUCCACAAAGUAUGUACGUACGUUUUCUUCUUUUCUAUAUAAGAGAAGAUAAUGAUAUACCCUCCGAUGAUUUUUGAAUCUUGUGGUCAUAAAUUAAAAUUAUGUCAAAUGUACAAAAUUGCCAUUUAAUCUUGUGGUCUUAAACAUGCCACGUGAAAAAUUGAAAUUAAAAUGUUAUCAAAAAAGAAAGAGGUCAUUCUUUUUGAAACAGACUAAAAAAAAGGAGGUCAUUCUUUUUCAAAUGGAUGGAUUAUAUAGUUUUCAAUUUCCAUUUUCAAAAGCAUCCAAAGGAUAACAACUAUAGUGGGAAUUAAAAAAUGUACAAUAAUUGGCGAUGAAUAAUUGAGUCGGUUGAUUCAGCUUCAAAAAUUAAUUAAAUCAAUUUUCAAGAAAGAAGAAAAACGACAUUUAUUUUAGAACAAAAAACAAAAUCAAUUUUCAACUCAUGCUUAUUUUAUAGCAUGGGCUCCAACUUUCAACCCCUGCAAACUUUAAUGCUCGGGCUCCACUUUUAACUCAUGUAUCUUUACUUUUAACGCAUGAGCUCCACUUUAACUCAUGCAUCUUACUUUUAACGCAUGAGCUCCACUUUAACUCAUGCAUCUUACUUUUAACGCAUGAGCUCCACUUUUAACUCAUGCAUCUUACUUUUAACGCAUGAGCUCCACUUUUAACUCAUGCAUCUUACUUUUAACGCAUGAGCUCCACUUUUAACUCAUGCAUCUUACUUUUAACGCAUGAGCUCCACUUUUAACUCAUGCAUCUUACUUUUAACGCAUGAGCUCCACUUUUAACUCAUGCAUCUUACUUUUAACGCAUGAGCUCCACUUUUAACUCAUGCAUCUUACUUUUAACGCAUGAGCUCCACUUUUAACUCAUGCAUCUUACUUUUAACGCAUGAGCUCCACUUUUAACUCAUGCAUCUUACUUUUAACGCAUGAGCUCCACUUUUAACUCAUGCAUCUUACUUUUAACGCAUGAGCUCCACUUUUAACUCAUGCAUCUUACUUUUAACGCAUGAGCUCCACUUUUAACUCAUGCAUCUUACUUUUAACGCAUGAGCUCCACUUUUAACUCAUGCAUCUUACUUUUAACGCAUGAGCUCCACUUUUAACUCAUGCAUCUUACUUUUAACGCAUGAGCUCCACUUUCAACCCUGUUCAUCACUUUUAACACAGGGCUCCAAGUUUUAACCCAGAUCAAUUUUAAAUCAUGGUAAACAACAGUGAUACAUGAAGAUUGUGUGAAAAAAGAGGAUCAAAAUUAUUAUGCUAGAAAAUUCAUGCCAAAAGGGGAGAUUUGUUAGGGUUUUGUCCUGAUUUUCUUACCAUAAUUUAAGAUUUAUUUUCCUUAAAGAAAAAACAAAACAUUACCAUAAAUGUUUUACUUUUCUUGAAAGGAAAAUAUAAUAUUAUUUUAUAUUUGGUUUAUUCUCUCCUUUUAGGACUCCUUUUCUAGUAGGAAAGGUUUUAGGACUCUAUAAAUAUAGGUUUGUUUCUUCUAACACAAAAAACAAUAACAUCCACAAUGUAGUCGUUUAAGAGUCUUAUUUAUGGGGAGAUUUAUUCUCUCUAAAGUUUCAAUGUUUUUCUUUAUAUUAGUUUUGAUAUAAUAAUAUUUUAAUUUUUAGUAUAAGUUUUUGUUAUCUGAUUUAUCAACCAUAUGAUUUGCAAAUUGCAAGCUUCCGCAUGACGCCUUAAUCACCCUUUCGAACCCAACACAAAGAGGAUAUCAAUACGAUAAGAACUUUCAAGUAGUAUUUAUUAUCUUAAAUUAAAAAUAUAUAUAUAUAUGAAGUAGAUGUUGAGAAUUAGAGAACAUUUGUUAUUUAUACAAAAUUCUCAAGGUUAAAAGAGUAAAAUGCUCUAAACAUAUAUGUAAUAUCAAAAUUGCUCUACACAUAUUCUUUUACAUGUAAUUUAAUUUAAAAAUUAAGACUUUGGUGCUUCUCUAGUUAACAUGGGAAAACUAAAUACUGGAGCUGCUGAUAUUAUUUUUUCACCAUUUUUUUGCAUUUCUAUAUCAUUAAUUACUAUAAUCAUCAUUUGAUUAUUUCCAUUAAUGCCCUUCACUGCUUCAAUAAUUAUUGAUUCUUCAAUUUCAUUUUCUUUGUACUCCUUGUAUUUUCCCCAUAGAACAAAGUAUAGCCCUGCCACUAUCACCAAUGCACCAACAAUUCUGAAAUAAAAAUAAAAAAUAAAAAAUUAGUCGAUGUAAUAUAUAUCGAGAGAAGAAAACAAGUUAAUUUCUCAUAUAAUCAUCUAACUAAACAAUUAUUAUCUCAAAAAGUCAUAUUUCUUAAUAAAAAAAUAACUUUUUGCUAUACCAAAAAUUGAUUGAUACAAAAAGAUAAAAUGUUUUGGUGGGGGUGGAGGUGGGGAGGGGCAGUUGCAUAGUAGCUUAGGCUGGUUAGUGGAACAUUCUUUGGUCGAAAAAUUAUAUUAAAAUAUAUAAAUUAAAAGUUAUAUUUUAUACGUAUAUAUUGUAUAUUAAAUAUUUUUAACGAAAUUUUUGACUUGACGACUCGUGAUUGAGAUAGUGGACUUACCCUCCAAUAUAGAAUUUUUCAGCAAGAAUGAAAGAGCCCAUAAUGGCAACAAUGAUCAUCAUGAGUGGACUAAAAGCUGUCACAAAAACAGGUCCUUUUUUCUCCAUUACUUGACCAUGUACAUAGUAUGCUAUGCUUGAUGACACAAUUCCCUGAAAUUUUGUGGAAAAAAAAACUUUGGUUAUUUAUCAUUAUCGAAAGGUGAUUAGACGGGACAUGAUAUUAUAUAGCUUAUUGAUAACAUGAUCCUAAAUAAGAAGAGAUGAAGAUCGAGGACUAGGACAGAAGGUUAGUAGAUAAUCGAGGUUGUUUAGUUUCCCUUAGUAGUAUUAUUAAUAAUUCUACUAUUAUCUUAUUUUUCGAAUUCUUUCUUUGUUUAUUACAUUAUUUGUGGUUAUUAUUUUUUUCUCCAUUAUUUUCGAUAUGUUUUAUAUAGAAAAAUACUAAAUCACCUUUACCAGAAAAUUAGCAAGGGGCGCCACAUGAAACCACCUUUGUCAGAAAACUAUAUUAUAUAUAUAAGGUCAAAAUUAUUUUCUAUUUAUAUAUCAUAUAUGUUGAUUCUCCUUAGUUUUUUUUUCUUAUUUUUACUUUCUUAUAUUCUAAAUUUAUUUAACUGAAAAUUCUAACUCUGCAACUGGACUUACGACAAGUGUCAAAGAAAAAGGGUAAAAAAGGAAAAGAACUUACAGCAUAGGCAGCAGCAAGAAGGUUCAUGUCAAAACCAAUAGCCCAAACAGAAGUUUUGUGUUCCAUUACAAAUGUUAAAGCCAUAGAUUGCAAAGUUCCCAUGAAGCAAACAAGUGCAAUUAAAGAUAAUGGAGCUGUAUAUUUUCUCAUUGUAAUAGCCUGUAUAACAAAAAUAAAAAAUUAGUCUUAAUAUUAAUUAAUCACCAUUUCUUGAAUAUUCAUGAAAAAGAAAUAAAAUUAAGUUUUAGCUUUCGUUUGAUCAUAGAUCCUAAGUUUGAAACUUAAAACUGAAAAGUUUGUUUCUCGGAGUCUAAAAAUUGUUAAAAUCUAUGAUCAAACGUUAGCUGAUUGUUUAACAUACCUGAAGAAUAAAGAAAGAAGCCCAAGCAAGUGUAGCAAAAAUGAGGAGAAUUGAGCCUUUUAGCCACUCUUUAUCAUAAGUUCCACUAAUUUGAUUUGACCAAAUUAAAUUAACAAUUUGGCCUUUGUACAAUGUCAUUAAUAUGGCACCACCCAUAGUUACUAUAGUCCCCAACACCUUUGCUUGGCUUCCAAUUUUCUUCAAAUUCACCUUCUCCAUUCUGAAAAAAAAAACAUUACUAACUACUCCAAAAUUUAGAAAAAAAAAAGUUGAUCUGAACGUCACAGUUAUAUUACGUACCUACAUAGGACUGCUAUGACAAAUGUCAUAGCAGGUAACAUGUUGCUUAUAGCACAUGAAAAUGUUGGAGAUGUCAAUUUAAGCCCAGCAUAGUAAAAAUUUUGAUCAAUCAAUGGCCCUAGAAGACCCAAUACAAAUAUUUGCAAGAACAUCAUGAAUGUCAUCUUUGGCCUAAUUUUCCUAUCAACCAAAAAAAAAAAUUGAGUUAUUUUGAUAUAUUUAUAUCGUAUUUUUAUUAUUAUUUUUUACACGAUCAGUAUAGUUUAACAUAUAACGCGAGUAAUUUUACCUUUCAAGUAAAAGAGCAAAGGGAGCAAUAAUUGCAGCAGCAAAGGCAUUUCUAUAGACAACAAGAACAUAAUGACUCAUGCCUCUAUUAAGUGAAACUUUGGUUAUAAUAUUCAUUCCUGCAUAACCAAAUUGUAAAGAAAUCAUGGCUAUAUAAGGUUUUGAUCUUUGAAAAAAAUUGCAAUUACAUUCCCCCUCCAUUUUUUUUUCUAAAUUUUGAAGAAAAAAAAAUUGAUAAGAAGGGAGGAAAAUAAAAACUCUAAGUUUUUAGAGGAGAUUUUUAUGUU
This 22059-nucleotide long non-coding RNA is filed under the name Solanum tuberosum (potato). RNAcentral describes it as "long non-coding RNA (STUB_LNC010297)". The record is from RNAcentral. Lineage: Eukaryota; Viridiplantae; Streptophyta; Magnoliopsida; Solanales; Solanaceae.